This 204-nucleotide non-coding RNA is filed under the name human gut metagenome. RNAcentral's name for it is "FMN riboswitch (RFN element)". It matches the Rfam family "FMN riboswitch aptamer (RFN element)". From Rfam's summary of the family: The RFN element is a highly conserved domain that is found frequently in the 5'-untranslated regions of prokaryotic mRNAs that encode for flavin mononucleotide (FMN) biosynthesis and transport proteins. The record is from RNAcentral.
AUCUUCAGGGCGAGGUGAAAGUCCUCACUGGCGGUAACGCAAAGGUAAAACGCAUACGUAAGGCGGCUAUCAAUGCGAAGCCCGCGACCCCGAUUGUUUUUUGAUUAUUGCAGUGCUUGUUAGUGAUGCAAAUAAGAGAUAAGCAAUUAGGCUGAUUCGGUGAAAAUCCGAGGCCAACGGUUACAGUCCGGAUGGAAGAAGAUG